RNAcentral lists this transfer RNA (71 nucleotides) under Crotaphytus collaris. Its description in RNAcentral is "tRNA-Tyr". The record is from RNAcentral. Lineage: Eukaryota; Metazoa; Chordata; Lepidosauria; Squamata; Crotaphytidae.
UGGUAAAAAUAGGAAUUAAACCCAUCUAAAUAGUUCUACAGACUACCACCUAUACACUCGGCCAUUUUACC